RNAcentral lists this ribosomal RNA (906 nucleotides) under uncultured bacterium. Its description in RNAcentral is "bacterial SSU rRNA". It matches the Rfam family "Bacterial small subunit ribosomal RNA", at positions 8 to 880 of the family's 1533-position model. The record is from RNAcentral.
AGAGUUUGAUCCUGGCUCAGGACGAACGCUGGCGGCGUGCCUAAUACAUGCAAGUCGAACGAAGCUUUCUUUCACCGAAUGCUUGCAUUCACCGAAAGAAAACUUAGUGGCGAACGGGUGAGUAACACGUAGGCAACCUGCCCAAAAGAGGGGGAUAACACUUGGAAACAGGUGCUAAUACCGCAUAACCAUGAACACCGCAUGAUGUUCAUGUAAAAGACGGCUUUUGCUGUCACUUUUGGAUGGGCCUGCGGCGUAUUAACUUGUUGGUGGGGUAACGGCCUACCAAGGUGAUGAUACGUAGCCGAACUGAGAGGUUGAUCGGCCACAUUGGGACUGAGACACGGCCCAAACUCCUACGGGAGGCAGCAGUAGGGAAUCUUCCACAAUGGACGAAAGUCUGAUGGAGCAACGCCGCGUGAAUGAAGAAGGCCUUCGGGUCGUAAAAUUCUGUUGUCAGAGAAGAACGUGCGUGAGAGUAACUGUUCACGUAUUGACGGUAUCUGACCAGAAAGCCACGGCUAACUACGUGCCAGCAGCCGCGGUAAUACGUAGGUGGCAAGCGUUGUCCGGAUUUAUUGGGCGUAAAGGGAACGCAGGCGGUCUUUUAAGUCUGAUGUGAAAGCCUUCGGCUUAACCGAAGUAGUGCAUUGGAAACUGGAAGACUUGAGUGCAGAAGAGGAGAGUGGAACUCCAUGUGUAGCGGUGAAAUGCGUAGAUAUAUGGAAGAACACCAGUGGCGAAAGCGGCUCUCUGGUCUGUAACUGACGCUGAGGUUCGAAAGCGUGGGUAGCAAACAGGAUUAGAUACCCUGGUAGUCCACGCCGUAAACGAUGAGUGCUAAGUGUUGGAGGGUUUCCGCCCUUCAGUGCUGCAGCUAACGCAUUAAGCACUCCGCCUGGGGAG